GAUGAACGCUGGCGGCGUGCCUAAUACAUGCAAGUCGAGCGAACGGACGAGAAGCUUGCUUCUCUGAUGUUAGCGGCGGACGGGUGAGUAACACGUGGAUAACCUACCUAUAAGACUGGGAUAACUUCGGGAAACCGGAGCUAAUACCGGAUAAUAUUUUGAACCGCAUGGUUCAAAAGUGAAAGACGGUCUUGCUGUCACUUAUAGAUGGAUCCGCGCUGCAUUAGCUAGUUGGUAAGGUAACGGCUUACCAAGGCAACGAUGCAUAGCCGACCUGAGAGGGUGAUCGGCCACACUGGAACUGAGACACGGUCCAGACUCCUACGGGAGGCAGCAGUAGGGAAUCUUCCGCAAUGGGCGAAAGCCUGACGGAGCAACGCCGCGUGAGUGAUGAAGGUCUUCGGAUCGUAAAACUCUGUUAUUAGGGAAGAACAUAUGUGUAAGUAACUGUGCACAUCUUGACGGUACCUAAUCAGAAAGCCACGGCUAACUACGUGCCAGCAGCCGCGGUAAUACGUAGGUGGCAAGCGUUAUCCGGAAUUAUUGGGCGUAAAGCGCGCGUAGGCGGUUUUUUAAGUCUGAUGUGAAAGCCCACGGCUCAACCGUGGAGGGUCAUUGGAAACUGGAAAACUUGAGUGCAGAAGAGGAAAGUGGAAUUCCAUGUGUAGCGGUGAAAUGCGCAGAGAUAUGGAGGAACACCAGUGGCGAAGGCGACUUUCUGGUCUGUAACUGACGCUGAUGUGCGAAAGCGUGGGGAUCAAACAGGAUUAGAUACCCUGGUAGUCCACGCCGUAAACGAUGAGUGCUAAGUGUUAGGGGGUUUCCGCCCCUUAGUGCUGCAGCUAACGCAUUAAGCACUCCGCCUGGGGAGUACGACCGCAAGGUUGAAACUCAAAGGAAUUGACGGGGACCCGCACAAGCGGUGGAGCAUGUGGUUUAAUUCGAAGCAACGCGAAGAACCUUACCAAAUCUUGACAUCCUUUGACAACUCUAGAGAUAGAGCCUUCCCCUUCGGGGGACAAAGUGACAGGUGGUGCAUGGUUGUCGUCAGCUCGUGUCGUGAGAUGUUGGGUUAAGUCCCGCAACGAGCGCAACCCUUAAGCUUAGUUGCCAUCAUUAAGUUGGGCACUCUAAGUUGACUGCCGGUGACAAACCGGAGGAAGGUGGGGAUGACGUCAAAUCAUCAUGCCCCUUAUGAUUUGGGCUACACACGUGCUACAAUGGACAAUACAAAGGGCAGCGAAACCGCGAGGUCAAGCAAAUCCCAUAAAGUUGUUCUCAGUUCGGACUGUAGUCUGCAACUCGACUACAUGAAGCUGGAAUCGCUAGUAAUCGUAGAUCAGCAUGCUACGGUGAAUACGUUCCCGGGUCU
Molecule: ribosomal RNA, 1372 nt
Filed under: uncultured bacterium
Lineage: Bacteria
Description: bacterial SSU rRNA
Rfam family: Bacterial small subunit ribosomal RNA
Source: RNAcentral